This 459-nucleotide ribosomal RNA is filed under the name Corynebacterium sp. 'ARUP UnID 269'. RNAcentral describes it as "bacterial SSU rRNA". It matches the Rfam family "Bacterial small subunit ribosomal RNA", at positions 27 to 500 of the family's 1533-position model. RNAcentral also lists the same sequence under 1 other name. The record is from RNAcentral. Lineage: Bacteria; Bacillati; Actinomycetota; Actinomycetes; Mycobacteriales; Corynebacteriaceae.
GGAUGAACGCUGGCGGCGUGCUUAACACAUGCAAGUCGAACGGAAAGGCUCCUGCUUGCAGGGGUACUCGAGUGGCGAACGGGUGAGUAACACGUGGGUGAUCUGCCCUGCACUUCGGGAUAAGCCUGGGAAACUGGGUCUAAUACCGGAUAGGACGAUGGUUUGGAUGCCAUUGUGGAAAGUUUUUCGGUGUGGGAUGAGCUCGCGGCCUAUCAGCUUGUUGGUGGGGUAAUGGCCUACCAAGGCGUCGACGGGUAGCCGGCCUGAGAGGGUGUACGGCCACAUUGGGACUGAGAUACGGCCCAGACUCCUACGGGAGGCAGCAGUGGGGAAUAUUGCACAAUGGGCGCAAGCCUGAUGCAGCGACGCCGCGUGGGGGAUGACGGCCUUCGGGUUGUAAACUCCUUUCGCUAGGGACGAAGCGCAAGUGACGGUACCUGGAGAAGAAGCACCGGCUAA